CGUCUAUAUACGUAUAGCAUAUCAAUAAGCGGAGGAAAAGAAACUAACUAGGAUUCCCUCAGUAACGGCGAGUGAAGCGGGAAGAGCUCAAAUUUGAAAUCUUCAAGGUUCUACCUUGACGAAUUGUAGUUUAAAGAAGUGUUUUCUGUUGGUGUUUUGGUAAAAGUUCUUUGGAAUAGGACAUCAUAGAGGGUGAGAAUCCCGUAUUUGACCAUUACUUUCCAGCGUUGUGAUACACUUUCAAAGAGUCGGAUUGUUUGGGAAUGCAGUCCAAAAUGGGUGGUAAAUUUCAUCUAAAGCUAAAUAUUGGCGAGAGACCGAUAGCGAACAAGUACCGUGAGGGAAAGAUGAAAAGAACUUUGAAAAGAGAGUUAAACAGUACGUGAGAUUGUCAAAAGGGAAGCGUUUGACACCAGUGUUGUUUUCUCGAAAAUCAAUUAAAAAAGGCAGGAUUUUGUGUUGUAUUGACUUUAUCAGCUUUCCUGCACUCUUUUCUUGUCUUUUUUAAUGCACUUUUCGUUUAACAAGUCAACAUCAAUUUCUUUUGUUGUAAAAGGGUCAUUGGAAGGUGGCUUUCUUUUCGGAGAAAGUGUUUAUAGCCUUUGGCCUCUGCAAUCGGAGAGAUUGAGGUCUGCAGCGUAGAUCCUUCGGGGUUAGAUACAUUUGUGCUAAGUUAUAGCCUUUCAUAGACAACUUGUUGACUAUGAUCAGUCAUGUAGCUUACUCGCUUAUGCUAUUUUACCUACGCUUAGGAUGUUGAAGUCAUCGUAUCGCGC
RNAcentral lists this ribosomal RNA (776 nucleotides) under uncultured Neocallimastigales. Its description in RNAcentral is "partial large subunit ribosomal RNA". It matches the Rfam family "Eukaryotic large subunit ribosomal RNA", at positions 26 to 645 of the family's 3401-position model. Lineage: Eukaryota; Fungi; Neocallimastigomycota; Neocallimastigomycetes; Neocallimastigales. The record is from RNAcentral.